GAUGAACGCUGGCGGCGUGCUUAACACAUGCCAGUCGAACGGAAAGGCUCCUGCUUGCAGGGGUACUCGAGUGGCGAACGGGUGAGUAACACGUGGGUGAUCUGCCCUGCACUUCGGGAUAAGCCUGGGAAACUGGGUCUAAUACCGGAUAGGACCACAUUUUGGAUGGUGUGGUGGAAAGUUUUUCGGUGUGGGAUGAGCUCGCGGCCUAUCAGCUUGUUGGUGGGGUAAUGGCCUACCAAGGCGUCGACGGGUAGCCGGCCUGAGAGGGUGUACGGCCACAUUGGGACUGAGAUACGGCCCAGACUCCUACGGGGGGCAGCAGUGGGGAAUACUGCACAAUGGGCGCAAGCCUGAUGCAGCGACGCCGCGUGGGGGAUGACGGCCUUCGGGUUGUAAACUCCUUUCGCUAGGGACGAAGCGUUUUUGUGACGGUACCUGGAGAAGAAGCACCGGCUAACUACGUG
Molecule: ribosomal RNA, 467 nt
Filed under: uncultured bacterium
Lineage: Bacteria
Description: partial 16S ribosomal RNA
Rfam family: Bacterial small subunit ribosomal RNA
Source: RNAcentral